RNAcentral lists this ribosomal RNA (492 nucleotides) under uncultured bacterium. Its description in RNAcentral is "partial 16S ribosomal RNA". It matches the Rfam family "Bacterial small subunit ribosomal RNA", at positions 29 to 507 of the family's 1533-position model. The record is from RNAcentral.
AGUGAACGCUGGCGGUAGGCCUAACACAUGCAAGUCGAACGGCAGCACAGUAAGCGCUUGCUCUUACGGGUGGCGAGUGGCGGACGGGUGAGGAAUACAUCGGAAUCUACUUUUUCGUGGGGGAUAACGUAGGGAAACUUACGCUAAUACCGCAUACGACCUACGGGUGACAGCAGGGGAUCUUCGGACCUUGCGCGACUGAAUGAGCCGAUGUCGGAUUAGCUAGUUGGCGGGGUAAAGGCCCACCAAGGCGACGAUCCGUAGCUGGUCUGAGAGGAUGAUCAGCCACACUGGAACUGAGACACGGUCCAGACUCCUACGGGAGGCAGCAGUGGGGAAUAUUGGACAAUGGGCGCAAGCCUGAUCCAGCCAUACCGCGUGGGUGAAGAAGGCCUUCGGGUUGUAAAGCCCUUUUGUUGGGAAAGAAAAGCAGCAGGUUAAUACCCCGCUGUCCUGACGGUACCCAAAGAAUAAGCACCGGCUAACCUCGUG